RNAcentral lists this ribosomal RNA (253 nucleotides) under uncultured bacterium. RNAcentral describes it as "partial 16S ribosomal RNA". It matches the Rfam family "Bacterial small subunit ribosomal RNA", at positions 524 to 776 of the family's 1533-position model. The record is from RNAcentral.
UACGGAGGGUGCAAGCGUUAUCCGGAUUCACUGGGUUUAAAGGGUGUGUAGGCGGGUAUUUAAGUCAGUGGUGAAAUCUCCAGGCUCAACCUGGAAACUGCCAUUGAUACUAUAUAUCUUGAAUCUUGUUGAGGUGGGCGGAAUAUGUCAUGUAGCGGUGAAAUGCAUAGAUAUGACAUAGAACACCAAUUGCGAAGGCAGCUCACAAAGCAAGUAUUGACGCUGAGGCACGAAAGCGUGGGGAUCAAACAGG